RNAcentral lists this ribosomal RNA (512 nucleotides) under uncultured bacterium. RNAcentral describes it as "bacterial SSU rRNA". It matches the Rfam family "Bacterial small subunit ribosomal RNA", at positions 34 to 518 of the family's 1533-position model. The record is from RNAcentral.
CGCUGGCGGCGUGCCUAAUACAUGCAAGUCGAACGGUCUUUCUAUGGAAGCUUGCUUCCACUGAGAAGAUAGUGGCGAACGGGUGGGUAACACGUGGGUAACCUGCCCAUAAGAGGGGGAUAACAUCCGGAAACGGGUGCUAAUACCGCAUAGUUUUCUUGAUCGCAUGAUCGGGAAAGGAAAGACGGCCUUUGUGCUGUCGCUUAUGGAUGGACCCGCGGCGUAUUAGUUAGUUGGUGAGGUAACGGCUCACCAAGACGAUGAUACGUAGCCGACCUGAGAGGGUGAUCGGCCACAUUGGGACUGAGACACGGCCCAAACUCCUACGGGAGGCAGCAGUAGGGAAUCUUCCGCAAUGGACGAAAGUCUGACGGAGCAACGCCGCGUGAGUGAAGAAGGUUUUCGGGAAUCGUAAAACUCUGUUGUCAGAGAAGAACAAGCUGGAGAGUAACUGCUCCAGCCUUGACGGUAUCUGACCAGAAAGCCACGGCUAACUACGUGCCAGCCGCAGC